GCUCAGGAUGAACGCUGGCGGCGUGCUUACACAUGCAAGUCGAACGGUGAAGCCUGCUAUUUAUAGUGGGUGGAUCAGUGGCGGACUGGUGAGUAACACGUAGGUGACCUGCCCCAAAGAGGAGAAUAACUUGACGAAAGUGAAGCUAAUACUCCAUGUGGUCAAUCAUUCGGUUGAUUGAUUAAAGCUAAGGCGCUUUGGGAGGGGCUUGCGGNCCAUCAGCUAGUUGGUAGGGUAAAGGCCUACCAAGGCGAAGACGGGUAGCUGGUCUGAGAGGACGAUCAGCCACAAUGGCACUGAAACACGGGCCAUACUCCUACGGGAGGCAGCAGUGAGGAAUAUUGCACAAUCGACGCAAGUCGGAUGCAGCAACGCCGCGUGGACGAUGAAGGCCUUCGGGUUGUAAAGUCCUUUUAAGAGGGACGAGGAAGGACGGUACCUCUUGAAUAAGUCUCGGUUAACUACGUGCCAGCAGCCGCGGUAACACGUAGGAGGCGAGCGUUAUCCGGAUUUAUUGGGCGUAAAGCGCAUGCAGGUGGCUAGGUAAGUCGGGUGUGAAAGCCCCGGACCUAAUCCGGGGAGGUCAUUCGAUACUGCUUGGCUUGAGAGCGGGAGAGGGAAGUGGAAUUCUCGGUGUAGUGGUGAUAUGCGUAGAUAUCGAGAGGAACACCAGUGGCGAAGGCGGCUUCCUGGCCCGUAUCUGACACUAAGAUGCGAAAGCGUGGGUAGCAAACGGACUUAGAUACUCCGGUAGUCCACGCUGUAAACGAUGGGUACUAGGUG
Molecule: ribosomal RNA, 783 nt
Filed under: uncultured organism
Description: bacterial SSU rRNA
Rfam family: Bacterial small subunit ribosomal RNA
Source: RNAcentral